CAUUUGCUUUAUGUAAUUUUAUGAUUAUGACCAUAUUCUUAUUUAUCAUUCAUUGUGUAUGUAAUUCAGAUUUUGACUGUAGUUGACCAUUUUCUCAACUUUGCCAGCCAAUGCGCUCAGUUUAAUUUGCCUAUCUAUCAGCAGUUCAACUCUCUUUUCCAGUCCAAAUCAUUCACUCUGCUCAAGUUUAUUUUUACUUUUGUCCUUUUUGUAAUAUUCAUUACCUUGAGCAGUCUCCUAUAAAAGGAGGUCAUUUCUCCCUCCUCGCUGUCAUUCUCUUUUUGUACGUACCUUGACCACGUCACUUUGUCACUCAAGUCCACAAGUCUCAAUUUCGCCCCAAUUUGUACAUCAAUAUAUUUUUAACUGAAGUAAAUGUGACUAUUUUGAUUGUGAUAACUUGUGCUCAUCAUCACGACUGAUUCUCAUCUCCAACACUCAUCCACCACUCAUUCAUCCCCUGCUUCCACGGUCACCUACGGCAACAUUUCCAUCCAACGAGUUCAUUCACACAAAUCCCCACAUUGGAAGUGCAUGAUUUAUAAAUCUACGCCUCUCCAUUUCCGUGAAUCGUUUGAUUAUGAAAGAAUCGAAUUUGCAUUGUCGUUACUAAAUCGUAACCGCUUCAUUUACAUUUUGCCCAAUUAAAACCAAUACGUUUUAGAAAAAAAUGUUUAAAGUCAUGAAUUUUUUCCGUUUAAAUACAACAUAUUUAUAAUUGAUUGAUACAUAAUCCGUGAUCAUGAGUGUGCAUGAGAUCAGCUUUGUCGUGCUUUCCUGUCCCACGGCUAAUAUUAACAUAUGUAUGUGAUGAUAACUUUAUUAGCUCCCUUAUCAAUCGUGCAUAAUGUUCACUCUUUUACAACUCACACUACAUACAACCCAUGAUAAAAAGUAUGACUAAUUCAGCCACAAAAUCCACUUGGUUAUGUUUCAUUCGGGCCUUUGUUAUCCUAUGUUUAUGAACUCUGUUAUUGCUUUACUUUCUCGGUUCAUAAUGCCUCAUGAAAUUUUCCAUUUGUAGGAAAGUACCUACACGUGGGCACAUGAGUAUGCAUGCACAUGGCCAAAUGUUACUGACCAUCUCAACCAGAACUAAAAUUAGCAUGCACGUUCGACCCGCAUUGUUCAAUUCAUGCAUGUUCAAUUCAGUCCUUGAUUAGUACUGUGCGUGGCUUAUCUGAAAUAUUUUCAUGAAAAAAUAUGAGACUCAAAAUUGGAUUGGAUCUGGUCGAUAUAAAAAGCCAUCGUUUCUUUCACUGAAAAUCAUUCCGAGAUCAACUCCGAAGCAUCAAAUUUCAUUUGGAUCGCCAAUUCCAAGUUUCUAUAUUUUUGAGAACUCUUCAACUUUCAAACAAUCGAGAACAAUGGAUUCCACCAGAAAUAAUUUUGGCUGCCGUCUCGGUGGGGUCAUCACCACCAUCCGGUCCAAGAUGUCAGUGUGGCCGACGCCUACGCGAGGGGAGAAUGACGGCAGCUACCCUCCACCCACUUGCCCUUCGUGUGGCCAAGCGUAUCCUUGUAGUUGCACAUAAGUUCAAGUCUUGCAAAUUCAGAAGUCUGAAUUUAGAGUAAGAACAUUGAACAGAAUUCAUACAGAACAGAACAGAAAACCUUACCACUAAUUUUAUUACCCAGAUUUUCUAUAAAUUAAUUGUAGAUUGUAUUAAAAAGACGUAAAUUUGUGUCAUAGAUCCUUCAUGUUAGGUUCGUGUAAAAAAUAAAUGAUAUACGUGUGAAAUGAAAUAUAAAAAAAAAUCUCAAUUAAAUUGCGCAUUUUACACAUGAUUAAGAUAAAAUAAUCAAAAUUCAUGUAUUAAUUUUUUAAGGGUACAUAAAAGAUAAGAUCAAAUUUUA
Molecule: long non-coding RNA, 1857 nt
Organism: Folsomia candida
Lineage: Eukaryota; Metazoa; Arthropoda; Collembola; Entomobryomorpha; Isotomidae
Exons: 2
Source: RefSeq, a predicted model, not a curated record